This 427-nucleotide ribosomal RNA is filed under the name uncultured bacterium. RNAcentral's name for it is "partial 16S ribosomal RNA". It matches the Rfam family "Bacterial small subunit ribosomal RNA", at positions 355 to 774 of the family's 1533-position model. The record is from RNAcentral.
UGGGGAAUAUUGGACAAUGGGCGAAAGCCUGAUCCAGCCAUGCCGCGUGUGUGAAGAAGGUCUUCGGAUUGUAAAGCACUUUAAGUUGGGAGGAAGGGCAUUAACCUAAUACGUUAGUGUUUUGACGUUACCGACAGAAUAAGCACCGGCUAACUCUGUGCCAGCAGCCGCGGUAAUACAGAGGGUGCAAGCGUUAAUCGGAAUUACUGGGCGUAAAGCGGGCGUAGGUGGUUUGUUAAGUUGGAUGUGAAAUCCCCGGGCUCAACCUGGGAACUGCAUUCAAAACUGACUGACUAGAGUAUGGUAGAGGGUGGUGGAAUUUCCUGUGUAGCGGUGAAAUGCGUAGAUAUAGGAAGGAACACCAGUGGCGAAGGCGACCACCUGGACUAAUACUGACACUGAGGUGCGAGAGCGUGGGGAGCAAACA